This is an RNA transcript of Phragmites australis (common reed), 7656 nucleotides long. RefSeq lists it as uncharacterized. NCBI's taxonomy places the organism in Eukaryota, Viridiplantae, Streptophyta, Magnoliopsida, Poales, Poaceae. The transcript has 2 exons. The record is from RefSeq and is a predicted model, not a curated record.
ACUCCAACCUAUCUAAUCUGCCUUCCCCAACCUCUGCUGUUCUUCCGUUCUUCCCGGUCCUCUUCCGAUGCCCCGUCGAGUGCUGGUGUGUGACACAGCCCUUCAAGCCUCCAACGGACACCGCUCCCCCUCCUCCGCGCCUCGUCGGCCACCGCCGCACCGGUCGCACCUUCCUCCGCUGCCCCAUCGCACCCAGGCGGCUGCGCUGGCUACGGAUCGCGAGCGGCCCGCGCCCCAAAUCCAUUUGGCGCGCCUGGUCCCCUCACCGCUCUUCUCGCUAUCCGCCGCAGUGGCAGCCGCCUGUUCGAGCGGUAGGUCGCCUCGUGCACCGCGCGGUGGGUGGUGGUGCGAGGACAGAGGCGGAGGGGGGGAUUGAGGGACUCGGGGUGCAGCAGACAUAGGGGUCGGGGCUGAACAUGGUCAGCGCGGCGCUCGGCUUCGGCACGACCGCUGCUUUCGUCGCGUUUGUCUGCGCGCAGUUCAUCUGCUGCUGCACCCGCCGCGAGCCGCUUCUGUCGUCGUCACCGUCGGACUUCCCCGUGGAUCUCGACCGCCUGGGAGUUCAUCUGUUAGCGGCGAAGAUCGUAGAGCAACGUUGGUCGAAGGGUGUAGGCGCGCUCGCAUCUUCGACUUCCCAUACAGGCGAAGACGAAGGAGACCUUCGACUGAAGAGCGAAGCCCGGGUCCGCAGUCUGCAUCGUUCACAGCGGGCGAAGACGCAAGCUGACCCUCGCCGGGGGACGAAGGCUAUCCAACGGGCAUCCGGGCGAAGGAGGCUUCGACGCCUUUUGGAGAGAUGAAUCACCUCGACACAGUGGGUCCGAUUUCGGUCGCUCAGGGUACUGCUGUAAUUAUGCGAUUAUGUUUAUUUUUACCAUAAUGCCCCCGGAUAUUCCGGGAAUGUAGCAGUUAAGGGGGUAGGAUUUGUAAACGGCACCUGUGGUUGCCGGGUACGGACUAUAAAUAGAGCCACAGUGUAACCGGAAGGGGUAUCAAAGAACUGUUCCGCCUCCAACACGUGUCGCUCUGAGUGCCCUCCGAUAUCUCCGUAUCCGAAGGCUCUCCUUGUCUGGGAACCCAGUCCCAACAGUUGGCGUCGUCCGCGGGAUCGAACCCACGAAGACAUGCCACUCAAGAAGAAAUCAAAGCCAGCCGGAACAGUGGAGGCAUUGCCGAAACCUCCAGUCGUGGCUGGGCCUUCGGCUGAUAGACCCCCUUCGGCCAUACCAGGAUCAAGUAAUGCUUCGACCGGACGAGAACGACACUGCGAAGUUGAAAUAGGACCACAAGAACCCAGUGAUGGCCGCCAGGGCGAAGCAGUCCGAGUUAGCGCGGAGCAAAUGCGGGUCAUGGAACCAAUAGAUCACAUGCACUUCGAUCCUCCAGAAAAGGAAGGCAAAAGGGUGCGAAAUGAAGAAUGGGAGGAACUCGACGACUUCACAGAGUUUGAGCACGGAAGAAACAAAUGAAGAAAGAACAGCAAGGCUAGAAGCCGAAGAGUUGGAAAGGCAGCUAGCGCAGAAGAAGCGCAUGUUGGAUGGCCUAGCAGUGAGUCGGAAAGCCGCAGAGUACCGCAGGCGGGCGGAUGAAGCAAGAAAAAAUUGGAAAAAAUCCAGGAAGAAAUCGAUAUGCUCCACCAAGCGGAGGGUAUAUCUCGCCGGCCAACGCCGUCGGGAGACUUGAUACGAGCUUUGCAGGAAAUUCAGCGAAGGUCGUCCACGGGAGACCCGGAGUCCCCUUUGGCCAUGGAUAUGCAAAAUCAGCCAUGGCCGCCAGGAUUCAAGAUGUCCAGAGUGGUUAUGUUUGAUGGAGAGUCAGACCCAAGAGAAUUUGUCAUAAGUUUUGAAGCAGCUGUGGAGUCUGCCGGAGGGGAUGGUACAACCUUGGCGAAGGCCUUCGUAUUGGCCAUAAAGGGGAUAGCAACGUCCUGGUACUCUGCGUUGCCCCCAUGAUCCAUAUAUUCAUGGGAGCAGUUGCGCAGUGCACUAUACAACUUCCAGGGGAAUCAGGCAGACAAAAUCACCGCAACCGACCUCUUCGCCCUGAAAUAGCAACCAACAGAAACCUUGCAGAGCUACAUGCGCCGCUUCUGUAAACAUAUGUUGUCAGGUGAAGGGGUUGAGCGAAGAUACAAUCAUCGAUGCCGUAAUACAGGGCAUCAGAGGCGGGCUAUUAGCAGGAAAGCUCACGAGAAAAAGACCCGGAAGCGUCCAAGAGCUGCUCAACAAGAUGGAAGAGUACUCAAGAUCUGAGCUCGAUCAUCUCCGAAGGAAAAACGAAAUGACAGCUACCAAAGUAAAACAACAUGCACCAGCUAGAGAGGCAGGCAGCAGCAAUCCUAGAGACAGACUGCACCGUCCAAGAAAGCCCGAAGGCUCUGACUAUCCAAGGCAAAAAGAAGUCAACCAGAUCAAUCCCAGCCCGCUCGAAGCCGUUCAAGGAUCAUGCAAAGCUUACAAUGUAGCCAAUAGGGGAGGCCGAGCGGGCAGGGGAAGAGGCCGCGGAGGCCGAGGAGGACAGGUUCUGCAGGACUCAGCAACAUUUUACUGCGAGCUGCAUGGCGAAGGAGCCGGUCACCGGACCAAACAGUGUCCGCAGGUCGUGGCUAUGAAAGAAAGCUUGGCGAAGCAGUUUGUUGAUCACGCAAGGACAGUGGACCAUGCAACAAGCUUCGGAAGAAGCGAAGGGUGGCAGAACCACAGUCAGAACAUGGCGUUUCCGAACCAAUAGCAAGACAAAUUCCAGCACCACAGUAUGCACCUGCAACUUCAGCUCAGUUUGAUCAAACUAGUCAAAUGAACCUUCAGGGGGAGCUACCUCUGCCACCACCGAGACCCGCAAUCGAAGCACCACCAGAAAGUAGCAAGUCAGUCAACACGAUAAAUCGUGGGUACAACGUGGUGUUGGCCAUCUCAGGGGGAUCUAACCAGCAGACAUAAUCUAAGAGACAAUGAAAAGAAUAUGUGCGAAGAGUCAACCACGUCGGAGUGGGACCAACGUACAUCAAUUCAAGAUGGUCAAACAUUCCCAUUACAUUCUCGCAAGAGGAUAUGAGGGUCCUAGACUAUCCACACACAGAUGCAUUCGUCAUUACUGCAAACAUCUCGGGAAAUGAAGUACACAGGAUCUUGAUCGAUGGAGGAAGCUCGGCGGACAUUAUCUUUGCUGACGCCUUCGACAAAAUGGGGCUGCGACGAAGUGACUUAAAGCAAGCCGGAUCGCCAUUGCUAGGCUUCGGCGGAAACACAAUCAACGCUCUGAAAAAAUAGCAAUCCCAGUGUCGUUUGGUGAAGAAAUGAAUUUCCGCACAUAAGACAUUACCUUCGAUGUAGUGGACAUUGAUUACCCGUACAAUGCGAUAUUUGGAAGGGGAGUCCUCAAUACAUUCGGAGCAAUACCGCACCAUGCAUACUUGUGCAUGAAGAUGCCUAGCCCGAAAUGAGUCAUAAAGGUGUUGGAAGAUCAGCGAGUGGCUAGACGAAUCGAAGUGGGAAUAGCUCCAGGAAGAAGAAAUGUUCACAUGAUAACAGACCCUUCGAUGGGUCGGGAAGAAAGUUGCAACCAGUCGAAAAUAGGAAAGGCAGCGAAGGCUGCACCAGAAGGAGCGGCCAGAAUAGUACACCUGCAUCAGGAAAAAGAAGAUAAAAAAGUCACUAUAGGAGCGGAGGCUCUGGCAGAAGAUCAGCAACAACUUGUAAUGUUCCUCUGCGACAACGACGAUGUCUUCGCUUGGUCUCCUAGAGACAUGCAAGAAGUAAGUCGGAAAAUCAUUCAGCACAACCUAAAUGUGGACCCCAAAGCGAAGCCAAGGAAGCAAAAGCUUAUAAAAGCUUCAGGCGAAAGAGAAGAAGCAGUGAAGGCUGAAGUGGAAAAACUGCUCGAUGCCGGAGUCAUACGCGAAGUAAUGCACUCAGAGUGGCUGGCCAACCCAGUCUUAGUAAAGAAAAGCAAUGGAAAAUGGAGAAUGUGCAUCGACUUCACAGACUUAAAUAAAGCUUGUCCCAAGGAUGACUUCCCACUGCUUAGAAUUGACCAGCUGGUAGACUCUGUGGCUGGUCGCAAGAUGCUAAGCUUCCUAGAUGCUUAUGCAGGGUACUAUCAGAUAUGGAUGGCGAAGGAAGACGAGGACAAAACAAGUUUCAGGACCUCCUUCGGCACAUACUGCUUCAUAAGGAUGCCUUUCGGACUCCGAAACGCUGGCGCAACCUUCACCAGGUUGGUGCAGGCAGUAUUAAAACCACAGCUGGGACGAAAUGUCUUGGCCUAUGUUGAUGACAUAGUGGUCAAAAGUACCAGAAGGAGCCAACACCUCGAAGACCUUCGGGAAACCUUCGACAAUCUGCGAAGAGCAGGCAGUUAAACCCAGAAAAAUGCGUCUUCGGAGUACAAUCCGGAAGACUACUAGGGUUUUUGGUGUCGAAGAGAGGCAUCGAAGUGGAUCCUCAGAAGAUACAAGCAGUUUUAGAUAUGAAACCCCCACAGAACAGAAAGCAAGCUCAACGCUUGGCAGGAAGGUUAGCGGCACUGAACAGGUUCAUUGCAAAAUCUGCAGAGCAAAGUUUACCAUUCUUCAAAGUGUUAAAAAGCUCUGACCCUUUCAAAUGGGAUGCAGAGCAGCAAGCAGCCUUCGAUGAGUUAAAAAGCUACUUGACGAAGCUUACAGCACUAACUAGCCCGGAUCCAGGCGCGGAUUUGCUGUUAUACAUAGCAGCAUCCCCUUUGGCAGUCAGCGCUGUACUCGUGUAGGAAAAACCCGAAGACAACAGACUGCGCCAAGCACCAGUAUAUUAUGUAUCAGAAGCUCUAGCAGGCUCCAAAAAGUCAUACACAAAGUUGGAAAAAGUAGCGUAUGCACUGAUAAUGGCAUCCCGCAAGCUUCGCCACUACUUCACGUCUCACAAGAUUACAGUACCAACUUUCUUACCCCUUGGCGACAUGUUUGAAAAGAAAGAAGCCAUUGGAAGAAUAGCGAAGUGGGCAACGGAGAUCGCUCCAUUCAUGAUCGUUUUUGUGGCAAGAACAUCAUUAAAAUUGCAAGCACUGGCAGACUUCGUGGCGGAAUGGACACCCUUAAUCGAAGCCUCGGAUGAUGAACCGCCAGAACCUGUUUGGACCGCAUAUUGCGACAGAGUUUGGGGAGCUACGGGAGCAGGAGUCUCGGCAAUAUUAUUUUCACCUUCGGGGACGAAGCUAAGAUACGCCGCCAGAUUAGAGUUCCGCUCUAUAAACAAUACGGCGGAGUACGAAGCAGUCUUCCUGGUACUUUGCAAGGCGAAGGCUUUGGGCGCCCGGAGAGUGCUUGUUAAGACAGACUCGAAGGUCGUAGCAAGUCAAAUUGACAAGACAUUCCAGGCAAAGGAACCAGAGCUGAUUAAGUAUAGAUUAGCGGUGCGAAGAAUGGAAAAAUACUUCCUCGGAUUCAUAGUCAAGAAUAUAUUAAGAAAUGAUAACUCCGAAGCAGAUGAACAAGCGAAAGCGGCUUCGUAGAACCUGCCUAUGCAUUCAGAUGUUUUCUAUCAGAAGCUGAGUGAACCAGCCCUUGAAGACACUUUGAACCAAACGCGUCUUGUUGCAACAGUCGAAAGCGAAGACUGGCGUUCUCCAAUACUGGCUUAUCUUCACGGUCAGAGAGACAUUGAAGAUGAGGUCGGAGCAAAGCGCAUGGCCCAAAGGGCCAGAAAUUACAAAGUUAUGAAAAAUAAUUUGUACAAAGCCGGGGUCUGUGCACCGCUCUUGCGAUGCAUAUCCCGGAAAGAAGGACAGAACCUGUUAAAACAAAUUCACAGCGGGUUGUGCGGUUCUCACAUCGGCACAAGAGCUCUAGUUGGAAAAGCAUACAUGCAAGGCUUCUAUUGGCCGACGGCUGUAAACGAUGCGGAUCAAAUGGUCCGAAGUUGUCAGUAGUGUCAAUUAUGGGCGAAGGGGUUAAACAGACCCACGACGAAGACACAACUCAUUCCGCCGAUUUGGCCACUAAGGCAGUGGGGAAUCGACAUUAUUGGGCAGCUGCCGCCAGCUCCAGGAAAUUUGCGAUAUGCUGUGGUUGCAGUAGAGUACUUCUCAAAAUGGGUGGAGGCAAUGCCACUCGUGAGCAUAACAUCAAGAAACAUACAUAAAUUUCUAUGGCAGAAUAUCGUAUGCCGCUUCGGAGUCCCAAGCGAAGUAACCGUGGAUAAUGGCACUCAAUUCGAUACUGCAGGUUUCAGGGAUUUCUGCAACAGUCUGGGGAUAAAAGUAAUUUUUGCAUCCGUGUACCACCCACAAUCUAAUGGGGCAGUUGAGAGAGCGAAUGGCAUCAUCUUCGCUGGUGUCGCGAAGCGUCUUCAAGGGUUGCCAAAAGGGAAGUGGGUCGACGAAUUGCCCAAGGUACUAUGGUCAUUAAGAACAACGGUUGCAAGACCAACUGGGUACACGCCAUUUCGCCUCCUCUUCGGCGAAGAGGCCAUGACCCUAGAGGAAUGCAAAACCAAAUCAUUCAGGGUCGGGAACGAACCAGAGCAAUGCGAAGAAUUAUCAUCGAAGGAUGCCCUUGAAGAAGUAAGAUUGCAAGCCGCAGAAAAUCUGGCCAAUUAUCAGCAGGAGACAAGAAUACGGAGAGAUAGGAAUAUAUCCGAAAAAACCUUCGCACCUGGAGAUUUGGUGCUGCGAAGAUUCGGUACAACAACAUUAGUGGGAAAACUUCAGAGUAAAUGGGAUGGCCCUUUCUUAGUAAAAAGAUCGUUAAGACCUGGCUCAUAUCAUCUAGCUAAUAUGGAAGGUGAGGAGCUUCCGCACACCUGGAAAGCAGACAACCUUCGCAAGUUCUACGCCUGAAAUCCGGCGACCAAGUCCAAGACUCCUAUGUAAUUUUUAUUUCGCAAUAUUUCUUGUAAUCAAAUUGUAAGGGUACUGCACUCUUUUCCUCACAGGGGACCCCUUCGUUAGGGGGUGAGGUUUUUAACGAGGCAAGAACCCAUGUAAACAUUGAUAUAGUGGUACCCCAGAAAAUACUGCUUGUCUCGAGUACUAGUAAUUUAUCGUCGAAGCACGCCAACCCAGGGGUGGAUUGGCGUGCCAAUCGACGACGCGAGGGCGGUGCGAAGUGUAAGCAAAAAGACGUACACUUUCGACCUUUUAAAAGAAAAAUAUAUAUAUAAACAAAAAAAGAGAGAAACCAUCCGGGGGCUAAAAGUGCCUGCCCCCGCACCGAAGGAAAGACAAACCUUCGGGAGAAAAAACAAAGUGUCGCUUGACCUACGAAAUGGCGGCGCACUUCGAGCAAAAGUCAGGGGCUAAGAGUGCCUACCCCCGCACCGGAGGAAAAACAAACCUUCAGGAGAAAAAACGAAGUGUCGCUUGACCUACGAAAUGGCGGCGCACUUCAGGCGGAAAUCGGGGGCUAAAAACGCUCGCCACCGCACCGAAAGAAAAACAAACCUUUGGGAGAAAAAACAAAGUGUCGCUUGACCUACGAAAUGGCGGCGCACUUCGAGCAAAAGUCGAGGGCUAAGAGUGCUUGCCCCCGCACCGAAGGAAGAACAAACUUUCGGGAGAAAAAACGAAGUGUUGCUUGACCUAUGAAAUGGCGGCGCACUUCGAGCAAAAGUCGGGAGCUAAGAGUGCCUGCCCCCGCACCGAAGGAAAAACAAACCUUCGGGAGAAAAAAAAACGAAGUGU